RNAcentral lists this ribosomal RNA (789 nucleotides) under uncultured organism. Its description in RNAcentral is "bacterial SSU rRNA". It matches the Rfam family "Bacterial small subunit ribosomal RNA", at positions 577 to 1357 of the family's 1533-position model. The record is from RNAcentral.
GGAAAGGUAAGUUAGGAGUGAAAGAUACGGGCUUAACCCGUAGUACCGCUUAUAAUACUGUCUUUCUUGAGUGUGGGAGAAGGAUGACGGAAUUCCUGGUGUAGCGGUGGAAUGCGUAGAUAUCAGGAAGAACACCGGUUGCGAAGGCGGUCAUCUGGCCCAAUACUGACGCUGAAGGCUCGAAAGCUGGGGGAGCGAACAGGAUUAGAUACCCUGGUAGUCCCAGCCGUAAACGAUGGACACUAGAUGCUGGAAGAGUCAAUCCUUUCAGUGUCGUAGCUAACGCGUUAAGUGUCCCGCCUGGGGAGUACGCUCGCAAGGGUGAAACUCAAAGGAAUUGACGGGGGCCCGCACAAGCGGUGGAGCAUGUGCUUUAAUUCGAUGCAACGCGAAGAACCUUACCUGGGUUUGACAUGGGGGUGAACGUUCCCAGAGAUGGGAGCCUUUCCUUCGGGAACACCCCACACAGGUGCUGCAUGGUUGUCGUCAGCUCGUGUCGUGAGAUGUUGGGUUAAGUCCCGCAACGAGCGCAACCCCUGUCCUUAGUUGCCAGCGGAUAAUGCCGGGAACUCUAAGGAGACUGCCUGGUAUAACCAGGAGGAAGGUGGAGAUGACGUCAAAUCAUCAUGGCCCUUACGUCCAGGGCAAGACACGUGCUACAAUGGCCGGUACAACGGGAUGCGAACUCGCGAGAGCAAGCCAAUCCCUUAAAACCGGUCUUAGUUCGGAUUGGAGUCUGCAACUCGACUCCAUGAAGCUGGAAUCGCUAGUAAUCGCGGAUCAGCAUGC